Non-coding RNA from Pelobates cultripes (western spadefoot toad), 264 nucleotides. The record is from the annotation of a GenBank genome assembly. Lineage: Eukaryota; Metazoa; Chordata; Amphibia; Anura; Pelobatidae.
GCAGGAAGUGUACAGAGCAGUAAUGGGUGUGCUAGUGUUGCAAUAUGGGGCACAAGUGAUGGCGUGGGAACAUGCCAGCUUGCCAAUUAUGUACCAGGUUUACUGGCAGCCAUGCUGUCUAGCUCCCUCAGGAUGCCCCAUGCUCAGAAUACUGUUGAAGUUGUCUUGUAUGAGUAGAAAAGUCCUAAAGUCAUGUCUUACAGCAGAUGUAAAUAUAAUAGUGUGUUUGCAGUGUGUUUAUUGUGGAUCUUUCUCUAAUGUCCC